Molecule: ribosomal RNA, 498 nt
Filed under: uncultured bacterium
Lineage: Bacteria
Description: partial 16S ribosomal RNA
Rfam family: Bacterial small subunit ribosomal RNA
Source: RNAcentral
AUUGAACGCUGGCGGCAUGCUUUACACAUGCAAGUCGAACGGCAGCGCGGGGCAACCUGGCGGCGAGUGGCGAACGGGUGAGUAAUAUAUCGGAACGUACCCAGAAGUGGGGGAUAACGUAGCGAAAGUUACGCUAAUACCGCAUACGAUCUACGGAUGAAAGUGGGGGACCUUCGGGCCUCAUGCUUUUGGAGCGGCCGAUAUCUGAUUAGCUAGUUGGUGAGGUAAAGGCUCACCAAGGCGACGAUCAGUAGCUGGUCUGAGAGGACGACCAGCCACACUGGGACUGAGACACGGCCCAGACUCCUACGGGAGGCAGCAGUGGGGAAUUUUGGACAAUGGGCGCAAGCCUGAUCCAGCAAUGCCGCGUGAGUGAAGAAGGCCUUCGGGUUGUAAAGCUCUUUUGUCAGGGAAGAAACGGCCGAGGAUAAUACCUUCGGCUAAUGACGGUACCUGAAGAAUAAGCACCGGCUAACUACGUGCCAGCCGCCGCCGUAA